GUGAUCCUGGAUGCCCUGCGGGAGAAAGCGGAGUCCCACCCCGAGCUGCAGGCGCUCAUCCACAACGUGCAGCAAGCUUCUCCCAGUCUUUCACCCUGAAGGGCUCGGCCAGCCAGGACGACUUCAAGUUCAAGCCCUAGGCAGUCCCGUGGCUCGGACACCUCGCCUCUGACCCGGAGGAAAUCCUAUGACCAGGGGCAGCCUGCCAGG
Long non-coding RNA from Malaclemys terrapin pileata, 210 nucleotides. RefSeq lists it as uncharacterized. The record is from RefSeq and is a predicted model, not a curated record. The transcript has 3 exons. NCBI's taxonomy places the organism in Eukaryota, Metazoa, Chordata, Testudines, Emydidae.